RNAcentral lists this long non-coding RNA (10073 nucleotides) under Sorghum bicolor (sorghum). RNAcentral describes it as "long non-coding RNA (SBIC_LNC013050)". The record is from RNAcentral. Lineage: Eukaryota; Viridiplantae; Streptophyta; Magnoliopsida; Poales; Poaceae.
UCCGAACCAAAAAUUUUUGAAAACUAAACAAAGCCUUAGGAAAAAAGCCGCAUAUAGACUGUGGCAGAACCACCCUAAUUAUAUGGCCCACAUGCACUUGACAUUGUCCUUAAGACCUCUGACUACUGCACAUGAGAGUCAUAUAACUUGGAUAGUCUGUCGGGUGCCCUCGGAGGACCCCGAAUCAUCCACAUUUUAACUCGUACAGGAUCAACAUGGAGUUACCACAACAUUACAACAUUUGUUACAAAAAUAACUUACAUCAGAGUGCGGAAGAUUUAUAACUUAAUUUACAACAUAUGAUGAAGUAUAAACUUAACUAAAUUUCCAAAAGGUGUAUAGAGUAGCGGAAGCAUCUUAGGUGAAGCUUCUAAGGUAGAAGAGGUGGAUAAAUCAUGUCGCGCCCACCGACAUGACCUCCAUUAGCAGACUAAGUCAGCACCUGCAACAGGGGUUAUAAAACCCUGAGUACAAAAGUACUCAACAAGACUUAACCGACUAGAAAAGAGGUGAAGACUCAGGUAUGCAGGCUAUAGGGAUUCAAGGUAAAGCUUUAUCAAGAUAAAGCAUUUCUUUUGCAUAAAAGCUUACUAAGAUUAAACCUACUUUCAAGUUUUAACUCAAGGUUAUCAUUUAUGACUAACCAAAACUAUUAUCAAACUUGCAUAAGCAUACCACAUCUUUCUUAUACCAAAGAUUCACUUGUUACUACGAUGAUGGUGUGAGGAUUGAGGCUCCAUAUCCGAGGAAACACGGCGAUUCGAAUCGAUUAAACCCAGCUGAGGAUUCAGUACCACACGACAUAUGUAGAACUUAAUCUUGCAUAUGUCAACCUGUUUCUAUAGAUCCUCCCAUACAAGAACGGGUCCAGCGUCACCCGAGAGUACAGUACACCACCAUCCUACAGCCAAUCUAGAUGUUUCCCGGUCAUCUCAGAUCCGUAAGGUGGGUACACGCUACUCUCGCCAUCUCUCCACUCCCAGUACGCGGUUAGCCGUUCUCGAGUAUCGGAAUAGCUAUAGGUAAGGCUUACCGCCGCAUGUGGGCUGUACUCAAAGGUCUCAAUCACAACAGGCCAAUCAACGGUACGGUCCUUAAUCGACUCAGUUGGAGACACUACUUUAAGACUCCAUUCUUAAAGCAAGUCCACCGACCGGUCUCAAGUUGAACAUUAUUGACCUUAAAAGUAUUCCACAACAACCCUUCAAACUUUCUCAUUUGAAAACCUAUCUCAUAAGCAGGGCUAAGCAUACUAAGCAUUUUCAUAAAGCGAGUACCAAGGUUAAUAUUGAAAUCAUCAAGGUAGAUAAUGCAGCAAAUAGGAUUCACUCAACUCCUAUUCACCUAAUGCAUCAUAUUAACUCAAGUGAUAUAAAUACUUUAUGAAAAUACAAGGAUAGGGUUUAAUGUCCGGGGCUUGCCUUGGCCGGAAGGGAAGUCCGACAACUCAGCAAAACCAGAUGGAUCCACAAACUCGGAAGCAACCCACUGAGGAUUAGAUUCCUCCGGAGCGUAGUCUACACGUAGAGUUGCAUAUGCAUGAUCAAUGAGAUGUUCAUGACAUGAUAAAGACAGGUUACAAGUUCUUGGAUGAUAACAACAAACAUAACUACCUCGAGUACAACUUACCUUCACGGUAUAGAAAUAAACUAACUUAGCUAUCAAAACAUAGAUUACUACUAAGCAAAUUUUAUCAUUUUCAUGAAGCAAGGCUGUAUAGAUAUCAGGCAACAAAGAUCAUUUAUAUGAAAUAAUCCAUAACCAGGGAGCAUAUCAUGCCAAGUACCCACUGGUUAUCAAUCAAUCCUAAAGAUCAAUCAAAACCUAAUAUGAUUAGGCUUUCUAUUUAUCUUAAUCAAUCCUUAAUUAAAUAUUAAUGGCAGUAAUUAAGUAUUAACAUCAAACAAUAAUUAAGUGCCAAAGGUCAUUGAAAGAUAAUGACCUCAGGUCAUCACCCAAUCCCAAAAGCACUCAAAUUCUAAUUUGGAAAUUAAGCAACUCAUUAUUUAAGUAAAGGCUAGCUAAAAACAAACAACUCUAUUUGCACACAUAACCAGGACAGCAGCAUAUACACAACUUCAUUCAACCAUAAUUAGAGAUCCAAACAUCCAAUAAAGGUGAUAUUAGACUUUCUGGAAAGCUUAUAUAAUUUUCUACAACUUUGUUAUUAUCUUCGAGAACUGAUUUAAUAGAUAACAUGGCCAAACAUUAUGAAUAAACAAUUUUGUCCAGACCUUGGACAGAAUCAGACAUUAAGCUUCAUACAUCUAUAACCAGAGUUCUAGAUCACCAAAAGUCAUGAUCCAUAACAUUUUGGAAAGCUUAUGAAAAUUACUACAAUUCAUCUUUUAUCAUGAAAGCAUGAUUCAUAAGUUUAGUAGGUUGAAAUUGCACAACUACAGAAACUGAUCCAGGAUUUGACAGAAAGAAACCAUUUCUGAAACUUAAAUUUAAACAGACAUCACUCAGAAACUAUAGGGCCAAAUGCCACCAAAAUUUAACACCAGCUAGAUACAUGAAUUCUAUACAACUUUGUUAUAGACAAGUUUCAUAUCCAACAUUAUUUACCUAGAGCAAUUCAUAAGGUUCCAGAAACUGUCCAGAAAUCACUAAUAAUUUAAUUAUAGACAAAUAACAUUUCAUUUAUGUUUCAAACUUGGACCUGGGCAAAACCCAGCUCACCAAUAGUUGAAAUACAUCAAAGAGAUACUAGAAAAUAUCAUGGUCAUCCCUAAAUAAAUUCUUUUUAUGUCUUUAUUAAUUUAUUUAGAUAAACAGACAAAGUAAUAACCAUAUAUCAAAAGUACACAAUAAAAUCUGAGAAAACUACAGAAGCACAUAUAUGCUCUCCAAAGUCUACUGUAUAAAUUUCAUACCAUUUGUAUAAGUAUAGCAAUUUCCAUGAAAAAGAUAAAUUUCCAUCACAAGAAAGCAUGUAGCAUCAAGAUAAAUAAGAAACUCGACAUUUUCUACAAACACAUAGCUAAAUUAUGUAUCUGUAUGAUAUAAAGACCUCAUAUAAAGGCAGUGGAACCAUAUUUUACAUUUAUUUAUUUUUAGUUUAAUUUUAAACUAUUUAAUAAGCAUUAAACAAGAUAAAUUAAUAACUUAACCAUAUAUCAUCUACUGAACAUGAAAUUUUUACUGCAACAUUCACAUAACAUCAUGAGAACACCAUAAAAAUUUCAGGGCAAUAGGAUCUAUACAGAAUAAGAUAUGAAUUUCUCCUUUUUAAACAUAAUUAAAAGGCAUAAAUCAUAACCAAUUAUUUUACUACAAAACAUGGUCAGUUUCAUAUUUUUAAUAAAAACUAGACAUCUCAAGGAGCACAACAAAAUUUGGUUCACCAAAAUUGGAGCUACCAAACUCUAGAUAUGAAUUUUCAAACAUUCAACAAAACAUCUACAAACAAGUCCUUAUAGCACUAUUCACCUGAGUCACAGUCUCUGCAAUUAGACCCCUGGGAAACAUCAAAUUGUCGCCCGAAGUCCCUGGCCGCGACUGAAAACAGAGGAACUCGCCGGAGAUCGUGGUUUCGGCGCUGGAGUGCUCGUCGGCGGCAUUGGAGCAGCGGGGAAGCUCGCCCGGACUAGUGCGCACCUGAUGGUGGCCGUAGCUUGUCCUGCAAUGGCUCGAGGUGGCCUGUCCACGUUGAGGUGCUCCUCGGCGGCGUUUUCAGCCGGAGCUGAGGAAGAAAGACGGCGCCCGGGCGAUUGAGAGGGGCAGGGAGGGUUCCUGGGCGUACACGGGGUUCGCAAGGAUAUGGCGAAGGUGUUGGAGAACUCGAAUUGGCCAGAGGGGUUGCGUGUAGAGGGUAUUGGACGGUGGAGCUUCACUGGGUGCUUUCGGUCGCCGGAGUAAGUGAGCUCGAGGUCGGCCGCGCAGGCGCUCAAGAGGUCGAGACGCAGAGGUCACGGGCGUCCACGUCGCGCGGUGACGCGGCCGGCAAGCAGCUGCGUGGCGGCGAGGCGCGCACGCGGCGCUGCACGGCCUGCGGCCGCGCGGUGACUGGACUCGUGAUCCAUAUCCGGAUACUGUAGCAAGCUUUAUCCAACCAGUUUUGUGGUUUUGCAAAAUUCGUCCAAAAUUUGAACUGAAGACAAAAUUCCACCAAAACAAAAGUUAUUCAGAAUUUUACAAACUACAAAUCUUCUUUUGGUGACCAAAGCCAAUUCUGGGUGGAAAAUGACGAAUUUGACAAAACAGUUUGAAUUUCAAAUCCCAAAUUGGGGAAAUUCCAAAUUUUGAAUUGGAGCAGAUUAGAAUUUCCAAAAUUACUUUUAAUUUUUCCAAACAACUUGAAAAACUCCCAACAUGAAAGUUGUUCAACUUUUUGAGCCCUACAACUUUCAUGUUGACCACUUUUCAAAAUUCCAAAUAGAUUUUGAAUUGGGGAUUCAAAUCGGAAAAGGGAACAAUUUCGGGAAAAUUGUAUUUUCAAAAUUACUUUAAAUUUUGUACUGAAACUUCAAAAACUCAAAACACCAAAGUUGUACAUCUUGACAAGAUCUACAACUUUGCUUUUGAACUCAACUUCAAAUUUUGCUUUGUUUUUUGAAUUGCACAAAAGGGGCAAAUCUAGGUUUUUGAAAUUAGGGUUUCCCCCCUUAAGUCUUUCGGAAAAACUUUCACCCAGGGUUUUAAUCACCAACACAAACAUCCAUACACAAUAUAAGCACACUUUAAUUUCCUAAGCACAAUCAACCAAAAUAACCUUAUUUUAAGUGGAUGCAUAAUAAUGUGCUUAACAAAUAUGCUUUGCAAUGCUUAUGAUGACAUGAUCCAGUUUUAGUGUUUGUAACAUCAGGGAUGUUACAGCCCUUCCCCCUUAAAGAAAUCUCGUCCCGAGAUUUCCAGGGUACUAAAACCCAUGGGGUUAAGUAAUGGAAAAGGAAAUGUGUCAAGCACAUUAACUUUUGAGAAGUUCAUACAACAAUUACGAUUGGUCCGAGAAUUACAACUAAGAUCAACAAGAAGUUGUAAUCAAUCAGGAAUUUUAGAGAAUUCAUACGAAGAUAUGAAUCUCCAAAUGAGCUUCCAAGGAGGAUGAAAGCACACUAACAGUAGAUUAUAGUGGAGCAUGACCAGAGAUCCCGAUGUUUAACGAGGACCCUGUAGUAUUUCCUUAUGGCUGCAGUCCACAGGAGACUACAAGGCUCGACGUUAUAACGUGAUCACGGAUCAUGAUACCUACUAUAGAGUACGGUUACAAUAGCUUUCAAUGACCUAUGUUGGUUAUCCAAGUCAGGGGCUUUAGGUAAUUCCAAAGAGAUAUGGGCAUGGAUUCCCAUAAUAUGAUCCAAAGAGUGAGGUCACCUAAGUUGUGGGUCUAUAAGGGAUCAUGAUCAUAGACUUUGAUAACAGCGAGCGCCCAGCAGUAUUUCCUUAUGGUCGCGAGCCAUAGGAGACCCCAGGUUUCGGCGCUGUUACCUAAGUUAUGGGUCAUGGUACCUUAAGAGGACACAAUCAUAGUGACAUUCAAUCAACAGAAAUGUUGACAAAUGACAUCAAGGAGGUAGCAUGUGUCCGAAUUAGAUGAAAUCAAGGAAGGUCACAUGCAUAACAAAUGAAUCAAGGAUUAGGAUCUUAUGGAGUAAAAGAUUAUCAAUCAGUUAACGAAACCUGGUACAUGAUGAGAUUCAUCAAUAAAACAGCUAUAACGAAUAAUAACUGUUUUUGAAGCAUAAGGAGGGGCUUUUAAGUAUCAUUAUAUUGUCAUGUUAUGCAUGAUAUGCAAUAUGCUCGCCUAUACGUCUUUACAACGUUAGCUAGGAGGUAACUACUUAUAUAGGGCAUACUUUAUACAUUAUCUUUAUUGCUCUGGACGGAAUGUUGCAAGACUUUUGACAAAGCAUUGUUGGAGUAGUUUGAUUCUUCACUCGGCUUGUUGAAGAAAAAUUGAAGUCCCUUUCAAUGCCUUCUAUUUGAGUCGACAGAAAGUCUUCGUAGAACGGGGACAGCAAGCAUAAGAAAAGUUAAGGAGCAUUUAUAAGUCGUUAUCCUCAAAAACUUUUAAUUUGUAAAUUCCUUUUGAAGUUUUUCACAAGUAAUGUUGCAGAAGAUCCAUGUAUGAGCUCUGAUACCAGCUGUGGCAGAACCACCCUAAUUAUAUGGCCCACAUGCACUUGACAUUGUCCUUAAGACCUCUGACUACUGCACAUGAGAGUCAUAUAACUUGGAUAGUCUGUCGGGUGCCCUCGGAGGACCCCGAAUCAUCCACAUUUUAACUCGUACAGGAUCAACAUGGAGUUACCACAACAUUACAACAUUUGUUACAAAAAUAACUUACAUCAGAGUGCGGAAGAUUUAUAACUUAAUUUACAACAUAUGAUGAAGUAUAAACUUAACUAAAUUUCCAAAAGGUGUAUAGAGUAGCGGAAGCAUCUUAGGUGAAGCUUCUAAGGUAGAAGAGGUGGAUAAAUCAUGUCGCGCCCACCGACAUGACCUCCAUUAGCAGACUAAGUCAGCACCUGCAACAGGGGUUAUAAAACCCUGAGUACAAAAGUACUCAACAAGACUUAACCGACUAGAAAAGAGGUGAAGACUCAGGUAUGCAGGCUAUAGGGAUUCAAGGUAAAGCUUUAUCAAGAUAAAGCAUUUCUUUUGCAUAAAAGCUUACUAAGAUUAAACCUACUUUCAAGUUUUAACUCAAGGUUAUCAUUUAUGACUAACCAAAACUAUUAUCAAACUUGCAUAAGCAUACCACAUCUUUCUUAUACCAAAGAUUCACUUGUUACUACGAUGAUGGUGUGAGGAUUGAGGCUCCAUAUCCGAGGAAACACGGCGAUUCGAAUCGAUUAAACCCAGCUGAGGAUUCAGUACCACACGACAUAUGUAGAACUUAAUCUUGCAUAUGUCAACCUGUUUCUAUAGAUCCUCCCAUACAAGAACGGGUCCAGCGUCACCCGAGAGUACAGUACACCACCAUUCUACAGCCAAUCUAGAUGUUUCCCGGUCAUCUCAGAUCCGUAAGGUGGGUACACGCUACUCUCGCCAUCUCUCCACUCCCAGUACGCGGUUAGCCGUUCUCGAGUAUCGGAAUAGCUAUAGGUAAGGCUUACCGCCGCAUGUGGGCUGUACUCAAAGGUCUCAAUCACAACAGGCCAAUCAACGGUACGGUCCUUAAUCGACUCAGUUGGAGACACUACUUUAAGACUCCAUUCUUAAAGCAAGUCCACCGACCGGUCUCAAGUUGAACAUUAUUGACCUUAAAAGUAUUCCACAACAACCCUUCAAACUUUCUCAUUUGAAAACCUAUCUCAUAAGCAGGGCUAAGCAUACUAAGCAUUUUCAUAAAGCGAGUACCAAGGUUAAUAUUGAAAUCAUCAAGGUAGAUAAUGCAGCAAAUAGGAUUCACUCAACUCCUAUUCACCUAAUGCAUCAUAUUAACUCAAGUGAUAUAAAUACUUUAUGAAAAUACAAGGAUAGGGUUUAAUGUCCGGGGCUUGCCUUGGCCGGAAGGGAAGUCCGACAACUCAGCAAAACCAGAUGGAUCCACAAACUCGGAAGCAACCCACUGAGGAUUAGAUUCCUCCGGAGCGUAGUCUACACGUAGAGUUGCAUAUGCAUGAUCAAUGAGAUGUUCAUGACAUGAUAAAGACAGGUUACAAGUUCUUGGAUGAUAACAACAAACAUAACUACCUCGAGUACAACUUACCUUCACGGUAUAGAAAUAAACUAACUUAGCUAUCAAAACAUAGAUUACUACUAAGCAAAUUUUAUCAUUUUCAUGAAGCAAGGCUGUAUAGAUAUCAGGCAACAAAGAUCAUUUAUAUGAAAUAAUCCAUAACCAGGGAGCAUAUCAUGCCAAGUACCCACUGGUUAUCAAUCAAUCCUAAAGAUCAAUCAAAACCUAAUAUGAUUAGGCUUUCUAUUUAUCUUAAUCAAUCCUUAAUUAAAUAUUAAUGGCAGUAAUUAAGUAUUAACAUCAAACAAUAAUUAAGUGCCAAAGGUCAUUGAAAGAUAAUGACCUCAGGUCAUCACCCAAUCCCAAAAGCACUCAAAUUCUAAUUUGGAAAUUAAGCAACUCAUUAUUUAAGUAAAGGCUAGCUAAAAACAAACAACUCUAUUUGCACACAUAACCAGGACAGCAGCAUAUACACAACUUCAUUCAACCAUAAUUAGAGAUCCAAACAUCCAAUAAAGGUGAUAUUAGACUUUCUGGAAAGCUUAUAUAAUUUUCUACAACUUUGUUAUUAUCUUCGAGAACUGAUUUAAUAGAUAACAUGGCCAAACAUUAUGAAUAAACAAUUUUGUCCAGACCUUGGACAGAAUCAGACAUUAAGCUUCAUACAUCUAUAACCAGAGUUCUAGAUCACCAAAAGUCAUGAUCCAUAACAUUUUGGAAAGCUUAUGAAAAUUACUACAAUUCAUCUUUUAUCAUGAAAGCAUGAUUCAUAAGUUUAGUAGGUUGAAAUUGCACAACUACAGAAACUGAUCCAGGAUUUGACAGAAAGAAACCAUUUCUGAAACUUAAAUUUAAACAGACAUCACUCAGAAACUAUAGGGCCAAAUGCCACCAAAAUUUAACACCAGCUAGAUACAUGAAUUCUAUACAACUUUGUUAUAGACAAGUUUCAUAUCCAACAUUAUUUACCUAGAGCAAUUCAUAAGGUUCCAGAAACUGUCCAGAAAUCACUAAUAAUUUAAUUAUAGACAAAUAACAUUUCAUUUAUGUUUCAAACUUGGACCUGGGCAAAACCCAGCUCACCAAUAGUUGAAAUACAUCAAAGAGAUACUAGAAAAUAUCAUGGUCAUCCCUAAAUAAAUUCUUUUUAUGUCUUUAUUAAUUUAUUUAGAUAAACAGACAAAGUAAUAACCAUAUAUCAAAAGUACACAAUAAAAUCUGAGAAAACUACAGAAGCACAUAUAUGCUCUCCAAAGUCUACUGUAUAAAUUUCAUACCAUUUGUAUAAGUAUAGCAAUUUCCAUGAAAAAGAUAAAUUUCCAUCACAAGAAAGCAUGUAGCAUCAAGAUAAAUAAGAAACUCGACAUUUUCUACAAACACAUAGCUAAAUUAUGUAUCUGUAUGAUAUAAAGACCUCAUAUAAAGGCAGUGGAACCAUAUUUUACAUUUAUUUAUUUUUAGUUUAAUUUUAAACUAUUUAAUAAGCAUUAAACAAGAUAAAUUAAUAACUUAACCAUAUAUCAUCUACUGAACAUGAAAUUUUUACUGCAACAUUCACAUAACAUCAUGAGAACACCAUAAAAAUUUCAGGGCAAUAGGAUCUAUACAGAAUAAGAUAUGAAUUUCUCCUUUUUAAACAUAAUUAAAAGGCAUAAAUCAUAACCAAUUAUUUUACUACAAAACAUGGUCAGUUUCAUAUUUUUAAUAAAAACUAGACAUCUCAAGGAGCACAACAAAAUUUGGUUCACCAAAAUUGGAGCUACCAAACUCUAGAUAUGAAUUUUCAAACAUUCAACAAAACAUCUACAAACAAGUCCUUAUAGCACUAUUCACCUGAGUCACAGUCUCUGCAAUUAGACCCCUGGGAAACAUCAAAUUGUCGCCCGAAGUCCCUGGCCGCGACUGAAAACAGAGGAACUCGCCGGAGAUCGUGGUUUCGGCGCUGGAGUGCUCGUCGGCGGCAUUGGAGCAGCGGGGAAGCUCGCCCGGACUAGUGCGCACCUGAUGGUGGCCGUAGCUUGUCCUGCAAUGGCUCGAGGUGGCCUGUCCACGUUGAGGUGCUCCUCGGCGGCGUUUUCAGCCGGAGCUGAGGAAGAAAGACGGCGCCCGGGCGAUUGAGAGGGGCAGGGAGGGUUCCUGGGCGUACACGGGGUUCGCAAGGAUAUGGCGAAGGUGUUGGAGAACUCGAAUUGGCCAGAGGGGUUGCGUGUAGAGGGUAUUGGACGGUGGAGCUUCACUGGGUGCUUUCGGUCGCCGGAGUAAGUGAGCUCGAGGUCGGCCGCGCAGGCGCUCAAGAGGUCGAGACGCAGAGGUCACGGGCGUCCACGUCGCGCGGUGACGCGGCCGGCAAGCAGCUGCGUGGCGGCGAGGCGCGCACGCGGCGCUGCACGGCCUGCGGCCGCGCGGUGACUGGACUCGUGAUCCAUAUCCGGAUACUGUAGCAAGC